Labeo rohita (rohu) is the source of this 1124-nucleotide long non-coding RNA. RefSeq lists it as uncharacterized. The transcript has 7 exons. The record is from RefSeq and is a predicted model, not a curated record. NCBI's taxonomy places the organism in Eukaryota, Metazoa, Chordata, Actinopteri, Cypriniformes, Cyprinidae.
UGAUAAAUGCAUUUAAAGCCCAUUUAAAACAUUAUUAAAUGAAGUGUAUGCAUACAUACAAAAUGCUACUCUUGUAAUUGUGAUUUAAGUAUUUUAAUAAAUUGAUACAAUGUCACAGAGGGGUCCAUGUACAUCAAUGCAUUUAUAAUUUUAUACCAACAGCACACCAUACGAACACUAGAAAAAGUGUUCUAGACUGUAAAACCAAAUAGUAUUCCUUGCUAUAAAAAUACUAGUAAGUUUACUCUAUUUUAACCAAAAUGUUGAGUUUACUAAUUUUUUUUUCAUUGCUGAAAUAUUACAACAGAUAGUUCCCAUAACUAAUGAAAUUUAAGUAAAAUUACUCAAAAUGUCCAAGACAUGCUGUUACGCAUGCGCACUGGGCGACAAUUGCCCCUCCCCCACGUCGCAGAAGCACAACGGCUGAAGACUCAACGUGUGUUUGCAGAGGAUCUAUUUCGGUAAAAUCAAGAAUACCAGCUGAUGACUGCUGUGCAGUGGAAAUAUCGAUCAUCUUGAUAAAACCUCAGUAUAUCAUCAGGAGCAACAGGCCACAUAUUCAGCUAAAAAUCUUCUUUGCUGUUCUGCUGAAGAAAAAUACUCAUGAACAUCUGGGUGGCGUAAGGAUCUUUGCAGGAUUCAGUCGCAUAUCUCGGAUCUGAGUUCUGCGCAGCACUGGACACAGACUCUGCACUUUUGACAUUUUCUAGAAAAAAGGAUUUUAAAUUUCACAUCAAGUUAAUUAAAAGUCAUCUGAUGUUUCCACUGCAGUACUUCAGGGCCUUUCAGUCAUCCUGGAGGAUGACCCACAGGAAUUUUACAGGAUGUGUUUCGAUGUGGAUGCAGACUUCAGUCAAGCAGUUGUAGACCUGCUCACAGUUCUACCAGAGGACAUGCCCUCAUUGUGGAUGCAAUAAAGGCAAUCAUGGAGGGAAGAAUUGUCAUGAAUGGGUUUUAAAGGCCUGUAUUUUAUUUUUGCUGUUCUGUUUGCAUGCCAUUCUGAAAAUGCUCUAUUGUUUAACAGUGUUCCAGUGGGUCACGAUAAUGUUAUGACAACAAAGUGCUGUUUAGUUAAGAAGUCUGUAAAGAGUAUUAUAAGAACACAGAUGUUUUAAAAGCUAAUU